Molecule: ribosomal RNA, 648 nt
Filed under: Triticum aestivum (bread wheat)
Lineage: Eukaryota; Viridiplantae; Streptophyta; Magnoliopsida; Poales; Poaceae
Description: partial small subunit ribosomal RNA
Source: RNAcentral
AUGUCCCCAUGUGAGAAGCACGGCAUGGCAUCUGAGAGGCCUGUUGCCUUUGAAGGAAUAGACACAGGCAGGAUGUUUUUAGCAUGUGCACAGCCGGAAGGUAGCAAUUGUGGCUUUGUUAAAUGGGUUGAUCACCAGUGGCCCCCAACAAUGCAGACUGCAUUGUUGAAGCUAUGGGCAAUGGUUGAAGAUGCCAAAAGUACUAGGGUGAAUGACAAUCUUGAAAGUUCUUUCACUAUCCACCAUCUGACAGAAGAGAAGAACAAGCUGGAGGCCAACUAUGACAAGCUAGUCCAAGAUUCUGCCAUUACAUAUCAGCAGGAGGUAAGAAAAGAACUGAUUGAUGAUAUGAAGGCACAGAUGGCAACUGAGAUGGCAAAGAAAGAUGCAGAGACCCAGAAACUUACUCAGAAGUAUGAGCUGCUGGUCAACCUGACAAGAGCUCAAGCAACAGUCAUUCAGAACUUGAAGUUGAACAAAAUGAAAGAGAAGCAAGUGCUUACUGAAGCUAGGAUGAAUUUGGAGCUGAAGAAUGCAGAGCUAACAAAGUGUCAGGAGAAGCUCACCCAAGAGAAGCUAGAGUUGAAGCUUCAGGUUGCUGAUCUGCUUAAGGGAAAGGAAAAGCAUAUCAAGAGAAGUGGCAGUUAG